UGGAAGUAGUUUAAUUUCAAGAACAUUGGCUUUGGGAGCUAAAAGUCCUGGUAGUUUCAGUCUUCCAGU
RNAcentral lists this transfer RNA (69 nucleotides) under Perna perna. RNAcentral describes it as "tRNA-Pro". The record is from RNAcentral. Lineage: Eukaryota; Metazoa; Mollusca; Bivalvia; Mytilida; Mytilidae.